UAAGCGGAUGCGAAUUGUUGGCACAUGUC
RNAcentral lists this small RNA (29 nucleotides) under Bombyx mori (domestic silkworm). Its description in RNAcentral is "ovarian small RNA-5763". The record is from RNAcentral. Lineage: Eukaryota; Metazoa; Arthropoda; Insecta; Lepidoptera; Bombycidae.